AUAUUUCGGGCAGAUCCAGCCCACAUGGAUUCUACUAAGUUAGGUGUUGUGUGUAUACCCCUAAGUGUUACCUGAUGAUCAUAUCUUCUUCCUAUAUGCCAAUAUUCAAUUUAAUACAAUUAAAUUAAAAUUAUUUUGUAUAGCUCAUCAGAGGGCUUUAAAGUCUGUAUGGCAUGCGACAUCCUCUGUCCGAAAUCCUCACAUCGGCAGAGGAAAAACUCCCUAAAAAAAUUUCAGUUCACUUGAAACAACUGUUGUUUAUUUCCCAUCAAGUUCCUGCUGCCAGAAAUUCUCCCUAGCGCACCGAAUGCACUAUAUCAUUUGCUAAUGACAGACUUAGCAAACAAAGAACUUUUGACCAACUACUUUCAACAUUCUUUUCAAUAUGAGCUUAAUAUUUUUGGACAGUGUAUUGAGAUUUGCAUCAUGAUUAAAUAUACUGUAUGACUAUUAGUUGGGACUUUAUUGAAAUAAGCAAACAUUACAUUACAAGUCAUUUAGCUGACGCUUUUAUUCAAAGUGACUUACAUUACAUUUUUAACCCAUGGCUCUUACAUUUUGCCCGGGGACACUUCGACAUGGGACAUGGGGCAGCCGGGACUCGAAUCACCAACCUUGUGGUUCACAGCACACCCUCUCUACCCCCUGCGCCACGACGACCCAAACAUUAGAAUAUUGUAAGGGAUCAGGACUGAGACUCAGGCACAAAGGAAUGAAACAACCAAAUACUACAGGUUUCGGAUCUUGGCAAAACAAACCAAAAAGUAGCACAGGCGCAAGCAGACUUAACACGCUGGAGAGGGAGAAAGAAGAAGGCCUGGCAAUGAAAAACAGAAAGACCAAAAAAAAACCACUAGGAAUACUGGUGGCUUGAAACAUACAAUCUCUGGGUAGGACGAUGGAUAACCUGAGAUGGGUGAGUGGGUGAUUGGGGCUUAAAUGCAGGUGGGGUGAUGGUAAACUGAACUCCCUAAGUGCUUGAAAUCCCGCUUGACUGCCUCUGGGCUUUGAGCUCAGAGCUGCACUGUAAGUCAAUGACUUCCAUUUGUAGGACUUUUUGCAAAUUUAACUUUAUGCAAAAUUCUGAGGAGCCCGCGGAGGAAAUUGCUUGGAGGACCGGAUUUGGCCCGCGGGCCUGAAUCUGAGAGCCCUGCUUUAAAGGUCACCAAGCCGGGCGCCCUAUCUACCUACUUGGUCCUACUGCCAAGAAACCUGAAACAAUCCUACAACUGCACUGUGUGGUAGGAGCGGCUACAUGGCCGAUAGAAUCAGAGGUGAAGCAAGCUAAUGGUGAGAACCCUAAACGUAGUUGUUAUACGGUAUCACCUGUUUGUUCCGUUUGCAAUGGGCCACCGGGUGAUUCAUUGAGCUCACACCUCAAAGCUCACUUGCCGUGCAGGAAUCAAGAGAACCAUGUAUACCAUCAGACAAAGGUUCUGGUGGUCCGCUAUGAAAUGUAAGGUCCGGGACUAUGUGGAGGCGUGCCCCGUCUGUGCUACGAACAAAACCUCGUCCUAAGCACGGACGGGUCUGCUGCAACCACUCCCGGUGCUCUGCCGACCCUAGGCAGAGAUCUCGCUGGACUUUGUCACGGGGCUGCCGGUCUCCCAAAGUAACACCACUGUUCUCACAGAGGUUGACAGAUUCUCUAAGAUGACUAAUUGCAUUGCCUUGCCUAAACUGCCGUCGGCCAAAGAGACACCCGAAACCAUGUUAAAUGUUUUUCGUAUCCAUUGGUUUCCAAAAUACAUUGUGUGGCCCCAAUUCAUCUCUAGAUUUUGGAAGGAAUCCGGAUGGCCUCUGGAUGGUAUCAGUCCAGAUACCAGCCAGACUACUUCUGGUCAAUUUUCAGAUUUUAUUUAAAAGGAAACUAUCAAUAGUUACAUGACAAUUUCCCUUAAGGUUGAUUCCCAUUCCCAAGGUGUCACUCAUACAUACAGUAUAUUUCUGUAAUAAUUGUUUCCUGAUUCCUGCUUCCAAAAUUAAAGCCUCGCAAAAUACCAUACAUGAGCCAAUUUCCUAAAAAAUCUUUCACAAGACUACCUCCGGUCAUUUUCAGAUUAGAUUUAAAAGGAAACUAUCACUAGUUAGACAGUAAUUCCACUUCAAGCAGAUAGUACACAUCCCCAGAUAGUGUAAAUUAUAUCAUAACUACAGCUUUGACUCUAAAUGUGUGUGGCACGUUUAGCACCGUUGUUUUUUACUGGAUACUCAAAAUCUUUCCUGGUACCAGUAGGUGGCGCUAUGACUUUGAUUCCACUGUACAUCUCUUCAGACCUGGAGUCUCAUCAAACGUGAAAAUUGGAAAGGAUCCAACUAUGUGGAGUAGAGUUAGAACGGUCUAUUUGUUCUUGGUGAAGGAUCAACUUUGCCAGUGCUCUCUCUCGCCGCUGUUUAUCGGAUUCUUAUAAUAUUCACAGUAAAGCAUUAUCAAGGUCUUAAGUCUCGGCUAACACCUUUUGAGAGGGAUCAGAUUAACCUGUGAGGAGCAGGGUGUAAAGUAAAAAACAUUCAACUUCAACUUGUUUCCAUCAGGAGUUCCUAUGACUAAGGUUUAAAAUGAUCUACAGGGCAAGAAGGUCAUGCUAUAUGAGAAAAAUGGAGCAGAUUAGAUAAAGUAUGGUCGAGUUAAAACAACAAUUUUCAUGACGAAUGGUGUUUUUUUUAAAUGCUGUGUGCGCACAUAGUUUAAUAUUUCCUCCGGUAAAAUGCAAUUAGAGCCCAAGGUCUCAACAUCACACUGGCUAAAUUUGAAAAGAAUUGGGUUUAAUCCCGAUCUCGGUCUUUUACUCUAAGAAAUGAGGGAAGAUUUUCAACAAUUAACUGCAGUGCCUCCUAUUCUUAAAAUAUUCUCAAAAUGUUAUUGUUAGAGAUCUCUGGUGGCCAGGGGUUCAACGUUUGAUCUCUGGUGGCCAGGGGUUCAACGUUUGAACCCCUGAACAGCGUCCUCGUAGCAAAGGACCCUUAUAAUAAUUCCUUGAAAUGCAAUAGGUUCCUCUACCACUAGUCGUAGCGAGGACCCUAAUAGUAAUUCCUUGAAAUAUACAAUGACUACAACCUAAUAAUAACUACAACCUCACAUUUCUGAGUUAAAUCAAAGGCAGUCUUCAUGUUGAGUUCAGUUACAUUUCCAAGGCAGCAGGUAAACUUUCAUUUGCAAGUUUAACUGACUUGUUUUACAGUGUGGAGCACCAGCAUCCUGACAGUGGACAGAAAAAGACUUUCAACAAUUUCAGCAGUGUGUCUUGGAGAGUCCUUUGGAUACAGUGGGGGCAAUGAGAGACAGGAGGAUUAUGGCUAAACUAUCAUCCUUGAUGGACAACGCUUCCCACCACAUGCAUGAUGCCCUGGCUGCUCUUUACAGCUCCUUCAGCCACCGGCUGCUUCCCCCUCCCAGUGAGCACAAGACGUAAUUUUAACGUUGAAAUCAGGUUGAAAUGAGGUCUGAACCUCUAAGACCUCAUUUCAACGUCUUUUCAACCAGCUAAAAAGUGGAUGAAACAUCAUGUGACUUUAAUGUAUUUAAUAUUUCACUUAAAACGUCAUAAAUAUGAAACAACGGAGUGUGUGCUGUUAAUAAGCCUUUAAGACAGGGGUCUCAAACUCGAUCAAUAGGAAAUGAGUACUCGCUCGCUUGCUAGACCUUCAUUCGGCGCCAAAAUACGGCGAAAAAAUUUAUGUUUUGUCGUAAUUAUAGUCAAACGUUUUUUGCAGUGGUUGUGGCCAGAGACUUGGAGAAAGUCUGGAACCUUUAGAGUACCAACUUCAGGUAAGUUAUAACGUAACCUUAUUUGAAGGUAAUGGUGGGUUUCCCCUGCCAUGUCUGUAUUGUAGUCAAUUCACUCAAAAAACAACAUAGAAUUCCCUGAGUUUAUCUAUUGGACAUAUUUGACUUUUCAACUGAUUUCUGAUCAUGAACAUUAAUUUGUGUGUUCUUUGGAAAUGCAUUAAAAUAAAAUAGUACCCGUUAGCUGACCUGAUUUAUUUCAUUACAAAAGUGCCUUCCAAACCUGCUGUUUACUAUAAAUUGAAGGAAGGAUUAGAGUGACUUUGGGGUCUAUGUGUAACAUUGGCCAACAGAGAAACAACCACUUUUAAAUUUAGCACUGUUUUUUAACCCAGAUGAAGACCCUCCUUACCAGUUUGUGUUUUUUCUAUUGCAGAUUAAUCUUAAUGAUGACAGAAGGGUGUUUUAAAGCCAGUACGUGGGAAAACCAUUCGCUUAUCAACUGACUGACGUCACCGCUCAAAGUCUUCCAAGAAAAUGAGGGACUUUAACCAAGACCUGGAUGAAGGACCCUCCAUCAUUCUGUAUCCAGAUGAAUCUGAAGUCAUCAAUAUCCCUGGGACACAAAGACCUUUUAUUCUAGAAGAAUAUAAAGCAGAAUUAGGCAAACCAUAUUCAAGGAUCACAAUUUUUAUCUGCCCAAAGAAGGACUUUGAAGAAGAUAAGUUGUCAUGUUUUGCCAUAGCCAUUUAUUUAUGUGGCUAAAUGUUUCACUUUUGUCUCAAUGCUGAGAGAUAAAUACAUAAAUAAGUUUAAAAAUAGUUCCCCAUGGUGUUUUCUGCAUUCAUCUUAAAAUUACUGCAAGGAGUUGCAAGUUGGAGUUGAACGUUUUCCCCUCAUAGUCAGACCAUGUGCCAAAACCAACUGUUUCUGGUGCAGUGUCUCAAACCAGCUUCCCAUUCAUCACCAUCUUCUGGAGUUAACUUCUUUUUAAAUGUUUGUCUUUGAAUGACACCAAUCAAGCGACCUUUAAUUGUUUCUUUUUUGCAGUUUUUGCAGUUGGAGAAGUGUCAUUUCUGACUCUGACACAGAGAUUGUCAUAAAAAGACCCCUCACAACGUAGGACCUAGCUAACACGCUACCAUGUGAACCUGCCCAAUACAGACGAAUACAGAGGAUAUUCGUCCAAGUACCUCCAGAUGUCCUGGAAUGCAACUACACAGACCGGUAUGCACCUAUUGUCAUUGAUAACGACUACGAUGAUGACGAAGAUGAAGUUCUAACUGUCAAAGAAAAUAAUGAGGCAUCUUCUAAAGAACCAAUGUGAGUCAUGAGUGCUAUAUUAUUAUCCAUCAUUCUGUCUUACGCGUAGAGUACGAGUAGUCAUUAAACAAAUAAACAUCACUGUAUUAAGAAGGGUCAAAUGACCAUUUCAAAAACUAGGUCCAGAGAGAUCCAAAGAGUUGUCUUUUUGUAAGGAACUGGAUGUAUUAAAUGUAGCCUAUUGUUUUAUUAACUGCCUACUGUCCUAAGGAGUCAAAAGUGUUAUGGGUACAAUUCAUGAAUAUUGAAUGAAAGGAAGGCUUGAUCCCAUUUGUGUUCAUCUAAUAGGCUAUACAAUUCUGCUUAGAGCAUGUUUUUUUACACACAAUGUAACUUUUUGUUCUAGGCAUACAAGUGCCAAGUCAUUUUG
Gasterosteus aculeatus aculeatus (three-spined stickleback) is the source of this 5420-nucleotide long non-coding RNA. Lineage: Eukaryota; Metazoa; Chordata; Actinopteri; Perciformes; Gasterosteidae. The record is from Ensembl.